CUCUUCCCCACCAUGAUCUCCGUUUGGUUUCCCCUUGCCUUAUAACUAUUUAAAUACAUUUUACUAACUUCAGAUUCCUUGCUCAUUUCACUUCACCUGGCUGAGCAGGUCUGCAAGGGCUCAAGGGCUAGCUCCUCCACUUUUAUUAUUUUAUUUAUUUUUCAGUCAUUGUUUUUAUUAAAAUAACCAUGUUCAGAGGAAGAGUCCGACACACAUAAAUAAUGGGAACUGCUAAUAGUAAGCAGGCUGCUCUAAAAUGUGCUGGGGCUUUGACUUAAGGGAAGAAAGCACAGCCCUGCAUUGUCCCUAUCAGGAAGCUGGAGCACAGAAGACUUAACAGGCCUGUUGGCAGGAUGGGGCAUUUGGAGGACAUUGGGAAAGGCAGUCCGGAGACCGGCUGGAAAUAACUGUUGGGUCUUUGCCACUGAAGCAGAAAGGGAAAGGUAGAGACACUUGCAGUCUCUGUUCCUCCCAUUUUUCUUCAUGUGAGGUCUUCAUCUUCCAGUGUUUGAAGCUUUGUGGUCUGAGCUGGAAAGAGUUCACUGAGGAUCAAAAAAAUGCCGAAGGUCAGAAACAUCCUGGGACACUGCUUCUGUCAAAUCUACAUCACUGGACUAUUUCUACCUCCUCACUAAAGAUGGUCAGAAAAGAAGCCAAAUACAAGUAUGAGAGUGAGUUCUAAAAACAAGAAGCAAAAUUAUAAGACAGAGAAGGAAGUUUCCUUCAUCUGAUCUGUAAGAUGAGUCAACGUGCAGCAGCACCUUCUGGAAGAAUGGCUUUGUGCUUGUGAAUUGCAAACAGCUGGAUCUGCCUCACAAAUUCGCCUGCGUGCUCAACACCUGAAACUAAUCCUUUGGAUACUUC
This 864-nucleotide long non-coding RNA is filed under the name Parus major (Great Tit). RNAcentral's name for it is "lncRNA (ENSPMJG00000016040.1)". Lineage: Eukaryota; Metazoa; Chordata; Aves; Passeriformes; Paridae. The record is from RNAcentral.